UACGGAGGGAGCGAGCGUUGUUCGGAAUUACUGGGCGUAAAGCGUGCGCAGGCGGAUUUUCAAGUCAGAAGUGAAAUCCCAGGGCUCAACCCUGGAAUUGCUUUUGAAACUGGAUAUCUAGAGUCUCGGAGAGGUUGGCGGAAUUCCCAGUGUAGCAGUGAAAUGCGUAGAGAUGUGGAGGAACACCGAUGGCGAAGGCAGCCCCCUGGGUCAAGACUGACGCUCAUGCACGAAAGGCGUGGGGAGCAAACGAGGAUUACGAAACC
Molecule: ribosomal RNA, 266 nt
Filed under: uncultured bacterium
Lineage: Bacteria
Description: partial 16S ribosomal RNA
Rfam family: Bacterial small subunit ribosomal RNA
Source: RNAcentral